UACGAAGGGGGCUAGCGUUGCUCGGAAUCACUGGGCGUAAAGCGCACGUAGGCGGGUUCUUAAGUCAGGGGUGAAAUCCUGGAGCUCAACUCCAGAACUGCCUUUGAUACUGGGAAUCUCGAGUCCGGGAGAGGUGAGUGGAACUGCGAGUGUAGAGGUGAAAUUCGUAGAUAUUCGCAAGAACACCAGUGGCGAAGGCGGCCAACUGGUCCGGUACUGACGCUGAGGUGCGAAAGCGUGGGGAGCAAACAGG
This 253-nucleotide ribosomal RNA is filed under the name uncultured bacterium. RNAcentral's name for it is "partial 16S ribosomal RNA". It matches the Rfam family "Bacterial small subunit ribosomal RNA", at positions 524 to 776 of the family's 1533-position model. The record is from RNAcentral.